RNAcentral lists this ribosomal RNA (465 nucleotides) under uncultured bacterium. RNAcentral describes it as "partial 16S ribosomal RNA". It matches the Rfam family "Bacterial small subunit ribosomal RNA", at positions 28 to 507 of the family's 1533-position model. The record is from RNAcentral.
GAUGAACGCUGGCGGCGUGCUUAACACAUGCAAGUCGAACGGAAAGGCUCCUGCUUGCAGGGGUACUCGAGUGGCGAACGGGUGAGUAACACGUGGGUGAUCUGCCCUGCACUUCGGGAUAAGCCUGGGAAACUGGGUCUAAUACCGGAUAGGACCACAUUUUGGAUGGUGUGGUGGAAAGUUUUUCGGUGUGGGAUGAGCUCGCGGCCUAUCAGCUUGUUGGUGGGGUAAUGGCCUACCAAGGCGUCGACGGGUAGCCGGCCUGAGAGGGUGUACGGCCACAUUGGGACUGAGAUACGGCCCAGACUCCUACGGGAGGCAGCAGUGGGGAAUAUUGCACAAUGGGCGCAAGCCUGAUGCAGCGACGCCGCGUGGGGGAUGACGGCCUUCGGGUUGUAAACUCCUUUCGCUAGGGACGAAGCGCAAGUGACGGUACCUGGAGAAGAAGCAUCGGCUAACUACGUG